AUGGGCUUUGCUGAAGAGAAUCCCGUCGCCGACGGGAGGCUCGGACGGCCGCGGCCGCGACGCUCCGCCGCCGUCGUCUGCGAGCGGCCGCCGCACAGGACGGGACCAGCAGGCGGCAGCUGUUUCCUUCCUCGGCAAGCCAGGCUCCACGCAGGUGACGUGUCUCCCUGUGCCUACCAAAUGUGGGCCCCACAUGUCAGUGGACGGCAACCGCCACGUCAGAUUCGCCGCCCGCCUCUCUCGUCGCCGAGAGCCUAUUUAAACCCGACGCCGCCUCGGCGCUAACCGCCGCGACAGCAAACACCUCGCCUCUCUCUCUCUCUCUCUCUCUCUCUCUCCCCCUUUCUCUCUCGCUUGCUGCUCGCUCCUCGCCGGCGACGAGGGCAGGAAGCCAUGUUCGGCACGGAGUCCAGCAGCACGGGCGGGAGCUCGUCGACGAGCACAGGCGACAGCCCUCACUGCUGGAGCCCGGGGACGAACGUUCAGCCGGGCGCGGGCGUGGGCUUGAACUCGAUCUGCUUCGCGUCGUCCGGCGACGGGCCCGCGCGCCUUGGCGUGGCGCCGUUCGAGAACGGGCAGUACGUGCGGCUCCUCAACCGCGGCCGCGGCGGCUACCUCUUCGCCGACGAGUCGGGGGUGCGCGUGCGCACCGACUGCCGCCGCGGGCUGAUCAACACCGUGUGGUGCGUGCAGAUCCUGGGGGGAGACACCCCGCACAUCUUGCUCCGCGGCGCCUACGGCCGCUACGUCGCCGGCACGCCCUUGGGCGCGGACGAGGGCCACAUCGGCAUCCUCGUCACGCAGCGCGUCUUGGAGACGAUGGACACCAACGUCAUGUGGCGCACCGUCCCGGGCCCGAGAGGCGGAGGCGUCGUUCUCAUCAACGCGAGCUCGUUCAAUGGAGGUCUGAGGGCCCUCCGGACCAACGGCAAGUACCAACGCUGGAACACGGGCGUCAGCCUCCAGUGCAUCGACCGCUUCAACGCGCGCUUCAGCUCGAUGAUGGAGUGGGAGGUUCAGGUCAUCCCCACGAGGGUGCAGAGGCCACCGUUCCAGGUGGGAGGAGCAGCAUGGCUUUGUGGGCUACAGCGCCGAGGCUCUGGAGAGAUACAAGUCGGUGUUAGGGUGGCUGAUGAUGAUGGGAACUUCAAUAUCCCGGGCCCGCAAAAUCUGUCGGUCCCUGGAAGGAGUCUGAUUGAACUGGGCAGUGUCCUGGAAGAUCGACUCGGCAGCAACUUUCGCUUCCGGAACAUGUCCAUCUUUAUUCGAGCAGGCAGUCUUGGGCAGCCCUUCCCUCUGCUCACUGAUCUUCCCAGUGAACUUGACUACUUCGAGGUCGUGGUGUUCAUGGUUGGUACACCAGGGUACAGGCGGCUGCGCUUUCCAGAUAUUGAUGCUGCAUAGGAGAAAAGGAUAGGAAUAGGACCAGGCAACACUUUCUUCCCCUCCCGGCCUCCCCUGGACAGUGUGGUCGACGCCUCCACCAUUUUACAGCAACAUGAUGGCUUUGGAGGAUUAGAAAAGUCCCCUUUGGUUUUUCUGAACAGUCCCUGGCAAUGUAUCAGUUUACUGUCACUACUAGCAAUAGGAUAAUCAGUUACCAAAAAAAAAAAAAAACAGUCCUGGACUGAUUCUUUCGCAACACUUUUGGACAUUAGGAGACGGCUUUGUUCUUCUGAUGUUUUUGGCACUUCGCUGGAAGUAUGACUAUGAGUAUGCUUCUUGCUCAUAGGAAUGUGCUGAAGUCGUUAGUUCUCUGUU
RNAcentral lists this long non-coding RNA (1761 nucleotides) under Oryza sativa aromatic subgroup. Its description in RNAcentral is "lncRNA OsARC_03g0032920". The record is from RNAcentral. Lineage: Eukaryota; Viridiplantae; Streptophyta; Magnoliopsida; Poales; Poaceae.